GUGUAGUAGACCUCACAGUGAAAUGCUGAAUACAACAGGUGUAGUAGACCUUACAGUGAAAUGCUGAAUACAACAGGUGUAGUAGACCUUACAGUGAAAUGCUGAAUACAACAGGUGUAGUAGACCUCACAGUGAAAUGCUGAAUACAACAGAUGUAGUAGACCUCACAGUGAAAUGCUGAAUACAACAGGUGUAGUAGACCUUACAGUGAAAUGCUGAAUACAACAGGUGUAGUAGACCUCACAGUGAAAUGCUGAAUACAACAGAUGUAGUAGACCUCACAGUGAAAUGCUGAAUACAACAGGUGUAGUAGACCUCACAGUGAAAUGCUGAAUACAACA
Molecule: long non-coding RNA, 341 nt
Organism: Oncorhynchus keta (chum salmon)
Lineage: Eukaryota; Metazoa; Chordata; Actinopteri; Salmoniformes; Salmonidae
Exons: 3
Source: RefSeq, a predicted model, not a curated record